AGUCAGCAUUAGGGUUUUAAACCCUAAACUGAACUUUUCCUUUCAGCCAGCAUUAGGGUUUUAAACCCUAAACUGAGCUUUUCCAUGCAGUCAGCAUUAGGGUUUUAAACCCUAAACUGAGCUUUUCCUUUUAGUCAGCAUUAGGGUUGGUUUUAAACCCUAAACUGAACUUUUUCCUUUCAGCCAGCAUUAGGGUUUUAAACCCUAAACUGAGCUUUUCCAUGCAAUCAGCAUUAGGGUUUUAAACCCUAAACUGAAUUUUCCUCCAGUCAGCAUUAGGGUUUUAAACCCUAAACGGAACCUUUUCCAUUCAGCCAGCAUU
RNAcentral lists this long non-coding RNA (322 nucleotides) under Nicotiana tabacum (common tobacco). RNAcentral describes it as "long non-coding RNA (NTAB_LNC012458)". The record is from RNAcentral. Lineage: Eukaryota; Viridiplantae; Streptophyta; Magnoliopsida; Solanales; Solanaceae.